RNAcentral lists this non-coding RNA (31 nucleotides) under Mus musculus (house mouse). Lineage: Eukaryota; Metazoa; Chordata; Mammalia; Rodentia; Muridae. The record is from RNAcentral.
UGGAAGGCAAAGACGGAAAACAAAUGCGCCU